This 506-nucleotide ribosomal RNA is filed under the name uncultured bacterium. RNAcentral's name for it is "bacterial SSU rRNA". It matches the Rfam family "Bacterial small subunit ribosomal RNA", at positions 34 to 518 of the family's 1533-position model. The record is from RNAcentral.
CGCUGGCGGCGUGCCUAAUACAUGCAAGUCGAGCGGACUUGAUGAGAAGCUUGCUUCUCUGAGAGUUAGCGGCGGACGGGUGAGUAACACGUAGGCAACCUGCCUGUAAGACUGGGAUAACUACCGGAAACGGUAGCUAAUACCGGAUAGGUGAUUUUUCUCGCAUGAGGAAGUCAAGAAAGACGGAGCAAUCUGUCACUUACGGAUGGGCCUGCGGCGCAUUAGCUAGUUGGUGAGGUAAUGGCUCACCAAGGCGACGAUGCGUAGCCGACCUGAGAGGGUGAACGGCCACACUGGGACUGAGACACGGCCCAGACUCCUACGGGAGGCAGCAGUAGGGAAUCUUCCGCAAUGGACGAAAGUCUGACGGAGCAACGCCGCGUGAGUGAUGAAGGUUUUCGGAUCGUAAAGCUCUGUUGCCAGGGAAGAACGUCUUAGAGAGUAACUGCUCUAAGAGUGACGGUACCUGAGAAGAAAGCCCCGGCUAACUACGUGCCAGCAGCUGC